Molecule: unclassified non-coding RNA, 400 nt
Filed under: uncultured fungus
Lineage: Eukaryota; Fungi
Description: sequence contains ITS1
Rfam family: 5.8S ribosomal RNA (bases 1-105)
Source: RNAcentral
GAAAUGCGAUACGUAGUGUGAAUUGCAGAAUUCCGUGAAUCAUCGAAUCUUUGAACGCAUAUUGCGCUCGAGGCCUCGGCCAAGAGCAUGUCUGCCUCAGCGUCGGGUUUCAACUCACAUACUUUUAUCUUUGACCUUCAUUGGCCAUCGAUUGAGUGUGUGGAAUUGGCAGUUCAUUCGUUGUCUUGAUUGACAAAGGAGGAUCUGUUCAAGAUGUAUGUUGCUUCGUCUCUCUUAGAGAAAACGCAGCCGAGUAGUCAACUCGUUUGAUUGCUUGUCAGUCUGGGUCAACUCGAAUGAGAGGACAUUUCGCUUUAACCAGCAGAUGUUUUUGUUGCGACAUGAUCAAGGAAAACCUUAUACAUUCUCGACCUGAGCUCAGGCAAGAUUACCCGCUGAA